Molecule: long non-coding RNA, 337 nt
Organism: Dermacentor silvarum
Lineage: Eukaryota; Metazoa; Arthropoda; Arachnida; Ixodida; Ixodidae
Exons: 3
Source: RefSeq, a predicted model, not a curated record
GUAGAGAUGAAUGAAUAGUGAUAACAUGGCCAAUGCCCCACACAUGGUUGAGUUAGGUACAGUAUAGCAGCUUAUAUUUUGAAGGAGUUUUGGUAGGUUAGCAUGUUCCAUAAGCAAGGGUGGAUCUUAUUGGCCCACCUUUGACAUGUCUAAAGGUGGUGCCAUUAAAGCUUAGCCUUCGUUUUCUACGUUAUGUUCAAUUAGGUCAGUUUACCUUGGCGUUAGUUUAUAGAUAUUUCAUUCAGCAUAGCAUAUUACUUUGGUAACGUGAGAUUCUAGGUUACACUAUCCCUCAGCUCUGGCUUUAGUUACGUGAUUAGGUGUGUUUCGUUCUGGG